AACGGUAGUUUAUCCACUGGAACAGCAGCAACAACAGUCUUUGGUUCCUCCUUGCUCUCAGGCUCAGCCCCGUCCACGCCAGAAGCAGCCGCCUUCACCACAAUUCUUCCAUGGCUAGAGUUCAAGCUGUAAGCACUGAGAGAGACUCUGUUCUUGGACUCGACAGCGUUGGGUUUAAG
This is a non-coding RNA of Arabidopsis thaliana (thale cress), 179 nucleotides long. RefSeq annotates it as other RNA. The transcript has a single exon. NCBI's taxonomy places the organism in Eukaryota, Viridiplantae, Streptophyta, Magnoliopsida, Brassicales, Brassicaceae. The record is from RefSeq.